GAUGAAGAACGUAGCGAAAUGCGAUAAGUAAUGUGAAUUGCAGAAUUCAGUGAAUCAUCGAAUCUUUGAACGCACCUUGCGCCCUUUGGCUAUUCCGAAGGGCAUGCCUGUUCGAGCGUCAUUAUCAACCCUCAAGCCCGGCUUGUCAUUGGACCUCACCGCGCGUCGGUGGGCCGGAAAUGUAGUGGCGGAGUCGGUUGGCCCCCUGGUGCAGCGAGCUUCUCAGCACGCACCGUGGCGGUCUUCCGGCUCGGCCUUGACCACAAAUUUUCUCAGGUUGACCUCGGAUCAGGUAGGAAUACCCGCUGAACUUAAGCAUAUCAAUAAGCGGAGGA
This 335-nucleotide unclassified non-coding RNA is filed under the name soil metagenome. Its description in RNAcentral is "partial contains 5.8S ribosomal RNA, internal transcribed spacer 2, and large subunit ribosomal RNA". The stretch from base 1 to 121 matches the Rfam family "5.8S ribosomal RNA", at positions 35 to 154 of the family's 154-position model. The record is from RNAcentral.